GAUGAACGCUGGCGGCGUGCCUAAUACAUGCAAGUCGAGCGAACGGACGAGAAGCUUGCUUCUCUGAUGUUAGCGGCGGACGGGUGAGUAACACGUGGAUAACCUACCUAUAAGACUGGGAUAACUUCGGGAAACCGGAGCUAAUACCGGAUGAUAUUUUGAACCGCAUGGUUCAAAAGUGAAAGACGGUCUUGCUGUCACUUAUUGAUGGAUCCGCGCUGCAUUAGCUAGUUGGUAAGGUAACGGCUUACCAAGGCAACGAUGCAUAGCCGACCUGAGAGGGUGAUCGGCCACACUGGAACUGAGACACGGUCCAGACUCCUACGGGAGGCAGCAGUAGGGAAUCUUCCGCAAAGGGCGAAAGCCUGACGGAGCAACGCCGCGUGAGUGAUGAAGGUCUUCGGAUCGUAAAACUCUGUUAUUAGGGAAGAACAUAUGUGUAAGUAACUGUGCACAUCUUGACGGUACCUAAUCAGAAAGCCACGGCUAACUACGUG
This 497-nucleotide ribosomal RNA is filed under the name uncultured bacterium. RNAcentral's name for it is "partial 16S ribosomal RNA". It matches the Rfam family "Bacterial small subunit ribosomal RNA", at positions 28 to 507 of the family's 1533-position model. The record is from RNAcentral.